AGAGUUUGAUCCUGGCUCAGGACGAACGCUGGCGGCGUGCUUAACACAUGCAAGUCGAACGGUAAGGCCCUUCGGGGUACACGAGUGGCGAACGGGUGAGUAACACGUGGGUAAUCUGCCCUGCACAUCGGGAUAAGCCUGGGAAACUGGGUCUAAUACCGAAUAGGACCACAGGACACAUGUCCUGUGGUGGAAAGCUUUUGCGGUGUGGGAUGGGCCCGCGGCCUAUCAGCUUGUUGGUGGGGUGAUGGCCUACCAAGGCGACGACGGGUAGCCGGCCUGAGAGGGUGACCGGCCACACUGGGACUGAGAUACGGCCCAGACUCCUACGGGAGGCAGCAGUGGGGAAUAUUGCACAAUGGGCGCAAGCCUGAUGCAGCGACGCCGCGUGAGGGAUGACGGCCUUCGGGUUGUAAACCUCUUUCAGUGCCGACGAAGCGCAAGUGACGGUAGGCAUAGAAGAAGGACCGGCCAACUACGUGCCAGCAGCCGCGGUAAUACGUAGGGUCCGAGCGUUGUCCGGAAUUACUGGGCGUAAAGAGCUCGUAGGUGGUUUGUCGCGUUGUUCGUGAAAACUCACAGCUCAACUGUGGGCGUGCGGGCGAUACGGGCAGACUUGAGUACUGCAGGGGAGACUGGAAUUCCUGGUGUAGCGGUGAAAUGCGUAGA
Molecule: ribosomal RNA, 669 nt
Filed under: uncultured bacterium
Lineage: Bacteria
Description: bacterial SSU rRNA
Rfam family: Bacterial small subunit ribosomal RNA
Source: RNAcentral